Long non-coding RNA from Gallus gallus (chicken), 2901 nucleotides. Lineage: Eukaryota; Metazoa; Chordata; Aves; Galliformes; Phasianidae. The record is from Ensembl.
UUAUGACAGUGUCAGUGCUUAGAUAGCUGCCAUUUCUCUAUAGAAAAUUCUGCUAUGAAUAAGUUAAAGACUCAUUAACUCAGAAAUUUGCAAAAAGACAUCUAGCACAUUCCGGAGACUGGAAAAUAUAGAAAUAUGUAAAGAGUAAUUACAGAUUCCCCAAGCUCUGGAACAGGAGGUCCUGAUUCAUUCAUGCUGAUAUAUUUAAGAAACCAUUUAAUUUUAAGGAAAUUGAAUUAUUCAGGAAUAAAAAGUGAGAAGACUGACACAAGUAUUACAAUUCCAUCUCUAGCAUAAGAAAUUUUCCCUUGAUUUUGAGAUAUUUUAUAUACCCUACAAUGUACUGAUUCCUAAGAUGACCCAGAGCUAUCUAGGAAAUAAGAAUUCUAUUUAUUUCCUGACUAUUUUUGAAGUUUAAUUUCAUUCCAUCUCAGAAAAAAUUUGAGUUCUUUUGUGAUUUUUUUAUAAAAAAAGGCAGGAAGAGUAUAAUAUGGACAGGCCUGCAGCAGCUCAGUAAAAAAGUUGUUCUAAGAUAAUAUAAAUACUUUCACUGAAAGUUUCUCUUCCAAAGCAAACUAUAUGGAUUAAUAAUAUCAGCAUGUCAAACAAGUCUUUGUGCCUCCAUGUGCAUUUUCACUUUGGACCUCCUCCAGAUUUUCAUUCAUUGUCAAUUGUCAUCACAUAUUUAUUGAUUAAGACACAGUUAAGUUUUAAACCACUGAAACUUCCCUUGUAGUUAAAAUAAUUUAAUCAUAUUGCAAAAACAUUUAAUUAUAAGAGUUAUUUGCUCCUUAAAUGGCUGGUCUCUAAAAGAAAGAAGAGGAGAUAAUUACUGUGAAUUAUUAUUAUAUUUCAUAUUAUUAUUUGUUAUUAUUUUUUUGCUAUUUUAUGUGUAAAUCCUUCAAUCUUUUGUUAUAUUUCAGUCUAGUUCUAUCUGCAAACAUAUUCAUUGUUUGUCUUGAAAAAUUUGCUGCAGCAAAAUAAAUAAUCUUUUUCCUUCAGUUCAUGAAUGAGAUUCUAACAGUGGUGCUAAAAGCCCCAAAAACUCAUUUGCAUGAUGAAAACACAUUCUAUUAAAAAAUAUCUACUUUAUAAAAGCUUUUUUAUCUAAGCACGUCAACCAAAGCUACCUUAUUUGCUGGGAGGUGGUGGAAUGUCAUCAUUCAGUAUAUAUAUAUGAGCUGCUCCAGUUUCUCUGUGAUGAAUAACCUUAGGUGGGCUUGUUGUAGACAGAUAAACAAUACUCCAAACUAGGAAGGGUAAACUCCAAAGAUGUGUAGCCAGUGCAUAUUAUUUCAAUCAUUUUAGAACUGUAGCCAUCAAGCACAAAAACACUUCAAAAAGAUCUCAAGUUCAUUUUAGAAUAAAAUUGAGUGUUGAACAGAUGAGUUUGACGAAGUGAACACUUUAAGAAAUUUUGUUAUGUCUUCUACGGGUGCACAAGAGAAUGUGCCCAUAUAGGGAUGAAAGUAAUUUAUAUCAUAGCACGACUUAUUAAACAAACUAUCCACAAGUAAAACAUAAAUUUAUAAACUGCAUUUAUGAACCACAGAGUAUUAUCCAGCCCAACAACUCCUCUCCCUGUACUGUUUUUGAGAGGUUGAUGGUUUUUUAUGUGAGAAAUGCAAAGCACUUUUAAGGAUUUCUUUUUUUGUAUUCAAAAGCAAUUACAUAGUAAGGAAUCGUUUAUUUUUUUACAUUUGUUUUUGGUUCAAAUGACCACAUCUGCCUUGACUAUGACAAUCUUAAAAUGUUAUCUGCUACAAUAAGGUCGAAAAAUUCAGAACAUGUGGAAAAUAGAAAUACAAGUUUUGUUUCAAUGUUUUUGGUACACUUUUUAAGUCAUGCUUAAGUGAAAGUGAUAUUGGGUGAACAUGAGACACUACUAGUAUUCAUUUUGGUAGAAAAAAUUCUAUACUGUAAUGUUUAGGAUGAAUGCUUAUGCUAGAAGAUUAAUAUGUCUGGGACUUUAUGUUAGAGAAAAAUAUGCCCUAAUGGUGUCCACUAUUGUAGAUAGUUUCUAAGCCAUGCUCUGAUGAGAGGAUGAAUGCAAUUUUUUUCAAAUGCUAUUUGAAGGCUGUUUAUAUAUUAUACAAAAUUUUAUAGUUAUCACUUGAAAUAUGCAAUUAUAAAUGAAGUACUUCCAUCUAGAAGAGGUUUUCCUUCUAGGAAAACACAGAAACACAAAACAAAACUACUGAAACAAUUUUAUUGACUUAAAAAAAAAAAAUGGAAUAGCACAGAAACAAAAAGGCAAUCAGAUAAAUUCAAGAAACAUCUUAAUAUAAUCAUGAUAAUUUUGAUACUUUUUUCCAUUUUUUAGCAGUAAGUAUGUAAGUUAGGAUAUUUUUUAAACUUCACAAGGUGAAAAAGAAGUUAUUUCUGCUUCUUUUAUUUAGAAAAGUAUGUGUGGAGAUGAGUGGAGUCAAGAAGACCUAAAUAGUAAUCCUGAUAUUAAAAACACUAACUCUUCAUGACCCCAGGGGCCAGCCAGACAAAAGACUGCUAUGCAGCAUCAGUGAGACACAGCCACAGUGCUGGGACCUGUCUGGGCAUCUCAGUUCAAAAAAGACAUGUGAAUACUGGAGUUGAUCCAGCAGAAGUCCACAAAGGUGAUGAAAGAACUGGAGUAUUGUAAUUUGGGGACAGGUUGAGUGAAUUUCAACUGCGAAGUCUAGAGAGGAGAAGACUCGGAAGGAAGCUCAUCAGUGUGUACAAAAGCAUCUAUGUGAGGAAGUGAAAAAAUUGGAGCCCUAUUUUUCUCAGUGGUGUCCAGUAUCAGGACAAGAGGCAUACUGAAAUACAGAAUAUUUCAUUUAAGAAUAAGAAAAAAAUAUUACUCUAAGGAUGAUCAAACACUGGAACAAAUUGCCCAAAUGAAUUACUGACUCACCAACUGGA